RNAcentral lists this long non-coding RNA (1197 nucleotides) under Piliocolobus tephrosceles (Ugandan red Colobus). Its description in RNAcentral is "lncRNA (ENSPTEG00000005133.1)". The record is from RNAcentral. Lineage: Eukaryota; Metazoa; Chordata; Mammalia; Primates; Cercopithecidae.
CGGAGACUCGGAGGAAGAAUGUUUCGGUGGCGCUGGAAUGGGGGAGGUUCCCCGCGCUGGUUUUCAGCUGGCGUCCCAAGAAACGAAGCAAUGAAGGUGAAAGCCCAGCUGGAUAAUUGUUCAGUGAGAAGGACAAGGAGGAAGGGAAUUGAGGGUGUUGAUGAGACAAGAUCAUGGGACCCAGAUGAAAAGGAACGAGGUAAGACUGUGGGGGAGUGAUGAUGGUGGUGAUGAAGGGUGGAGCAAGGUGCUGGCUGCUGCCCAAGUGAGGGGGUUGCCACGAUGAAUCAGGCCAGGUCCCUGCCCUCCAACUGCAGAAGCCAUUUCACCCACACACUUCAGGAACAACACUACCUAGCCGAACCCCUCUCCCUGCUUUCUCACACCAGCGGAAACUCUCACCCACCAGGCUGGUGACAGGAAGCUGGGUCAGAUCCUCCCGAUUCCCCACAUAGCCGAACACUUCCAUUAAAGCCAGGAUCCUCUGACAAGCUGGCUCCUGGAGGAGGCUGCACUGAUUUGGGGAUUGGAAGCCUGGCACCCAGCUUCUAAAUAGUGACACAGGGAGUGUUCCCUAUUCAUGGGGUUGCAUCAUGCUUGAUUUCUACCGCGUCUGAGCAAACGUAGUUACAAGCUCUGAAAUCCACACCCAGCAACAAACUUUGGAGUUGCUUUCAGCUCUCCAAGUCCACGCUGUUGUGCCUCUGGGCUCCACAUCUGUCUGAGGAAGGAGAGGAAAGAGUGGGUUGGUUUCUGUUUUGUUUUUCCUUUCAUACCUUGGCCAAAAAUGAGUUGGUGGCAGAAAAGUUGUUCCAAGGCGAGCUUGCAGCCUGGUCUCUCCUUCCUUCCCAUAUGAUACACCACCGCCUUCUACAAGGACAUUAAAACAGUUUGCAUAAGGCUGAGAGUUGUGAAAAUAGAUGUCUGGCAGCCUCCGUAGAGCGUAAUUGAAUCAGUAGGGAACCCCCCUAUGAUUAUCUGCCAUUCUCAGUUUAUCCCUAUUGAAAAUGGGUGGAUUCUCGCAGGAGUUUCAUAAUUCAGCAGAUUUUUAAAAAUCUCUUUAAUUGACAUAUAAUAAUUGUAUGUAUAUAUGAGGUGGUUUUGAUACAUGUAUACAUUAUGUAAUAAUCAAAUCCGGGUAUUCAGCAUAUCCAUCACCUCAUUUAUCAUUUCUUUGUAGUAAGAACAUUCAAAAUC